Molecule: long non-coding RNA, 158 nt
Organism: Lolium rigidum
Lineage: Eukaryota; Viridiplantae; Streptophyta; Magnoliopsida; Poales; Poaceae
Exons: 3
Source: RefSeq, a predicted model, not a curated record
UGGGAUCUUCUGGACAGCCAAGACCUCUCCCACAGGGCUCACUUUUUGGAGUGCCAUCACAUAACCCUCAAAUCCCAAAGAAAAGGACAGCUGCUAAAAGUAUUGAGGAAUCCAGAAAUACUGUACCUAUAUCUGAAAAUCUGGCCAACCUGAAAAAU